RNAcentral lists this long non-coding RNA (166 nucleotides) under Canis lupus familiaris (dog). Its description in RNAcentral is "lncRNA (ENSCAFG00000033774.3, ENSCAFG00845015517.1)". The record is from RNAcentral. Lineage: Eukaryota; Metazoa; Chordata; Mammalia; Carnivora; Canidae.
GGGGCCAGAAGCAGCUAUGGCAGCUGAGAUAUGGAGCCAGGAAUCUGAGAACGGGGAGGCGACUUGAGCCGCUUCCCGGAACAGGCCAGGACACAGGGAUGAUGUUCUGCGGGUGAGGCUGCGCUGUGCCAGGCUAGGCCCUGGACACAUCUGGAUGCUUAACCCC